RNAcentral lists this transfer RNA (90 nucleotides) under SAR324 cluster bacterium. RNAcentral's name for it is "tRNA-Ser". It matches the Rfam family "tRNA". Rfam says of the family: Transfer RNA (tRNA) molecules are approximately 80 nucleotides in length. Their secondary structure includes four short double-helical elements and three loops (D, anti-codon, and T loops). Further hydrogen bonds mediate the characteristic L-shaped molecular structure. tRNAs have two regions of fundamental functional importance: the anti-codon, which is responsible for specific mRNA codon recognition, and the 3' end, to which the tRNAs corresponding amino acid is attached (by aminoacyl-tRNA synthetases). tRNAs cope with the degeneracy of the genetic code in two manners: having more than one tRNA (with a specific anti-codon) for a particular amino acid; and 'wobble' base-pairing, i.e. permitting non-standard base-pairing at the 3rd anti-codon position. Lineage: Bacteria; Deltaproteobacteria. The record is from RNAcentral.
GGAGAGAUGGCUGAGUGGUCGAAAGCAGCACAUUGCUAAUGUGCCGUACCUAAUUUGGUACCGGGGGUUCGAAUCCCCCUCUCUCCGCCA